AGGAAGGACUUUAAAAAUUCGUUUAAAUGACAAAAGGAAAUAAUGAAAACUGGACAAGAAAACCUAGAACCUUAAUUUCUCAUACACUGUUGUAGCUGUCUGUCUGUCUGUCUAUUUUGACUGUCACUCCGUUUCUCUAAAUAGCUGGCUACCUAGCUGUUAUUUAUCUCUCUAUUCAAAUAAUAACUAGCUAUCUAUCUAGCUAACUUGUAGUUAUCUCUGAUGGAUAGAUGGAUGGAUAGAUAGAUUUUUUUCUAGACAAUGAGAUCAGCAAGGAAAACAUACUUUAAAUUCACGAAAACGGUCACACACCCACAUAGGUAUACACACACGUACUACUUAUAAGCAGUGCAAAAUAAUUUUUUAAAACACUUAAUCAACAUCACCACCGACAUCAUUUGUGUUCCAAAAGAUAUCAGGAAGAAAAAGAGAGAGAAAAAAAAAUACGUUUUGCUGACCAACUGAAAAUGAAAAUCUAAACCAAGUUUAAUUAUGUACUGGUGAUGACAAUUCUUGUUUACUGAUUAUCAGCAAAUCUUUAUUAAUUGUCAACAACCGACAGAAAUAAUAUUUUUGUGCAUGUCAUAAACGAAAGGAGAAGCAAAAGCGCAAAAAAUAAAAUACGAGGAAAAGAAGGGGAAAAAUAUCUGUU
Molecule: long non-coding RNA, 652 nt
Organism: Octopus bimaculoides (California two-spot octopus)
Lineage: Eukaryota; Metazoa; Mollusca; Cephalopoda; Octopoda; Octopodidae
Source: RefSeq, a predicted model, not a curated record